UUUUUUUUUCUUUUUUUACACUAGUUAUCAACCAAGUCAGCACUUUUCCUAUCAAAAUGAGAACUUGCUUCUCAAAAAAAAAGUUCCUUCCUCUUGCACACCAGAAGAAAAUUAAUCUAGAUAUUAAAAAUAACUUGAUUACACUCUUGAGUAAACAAGCCAAGAAAUUAAACUAUUUUGGAUUUCAUGUGGUAAUAAUCUAGAAGGAUGAAAUACCUUUGUAUGAUUACAACAGCGAUCAGAAGUACAGAUUCUAAAACAGCACUAGAGCAAGAAAUAUGUUUUGGCAUAUAGUUGGACAUACAUGUUCUUGGACACCUCUCUCUGAGGGAAUUUCCUGUAUACAUUCUUUUAUUUUACAUGCUGAAGAUAAAAUUUCCUUCUCUCUUCUGAAUCCUUGAAGUUCAAGUGACUACAAAAUACAACAAGCCUCUACGGGACAAGCCCUCGAAGGGGCACUGAAGCCUCCAGCUGACUUUUGCAUGAAGUGGGAAACUUCAUCAGCGUUUGCUACAGUUCAGAGAAGCGGCUGACGUUAUGCUUUUCCCAGCCUUGGAAAAACAUGUUCAUCAACACCUUGUCCCAGGGAAAGGGAAGAAAAGGGGGAGGGAGGGGAGCAGGAGGGGGAAGAAGGGAGAAAGUCAUGGACACUCGCUUCCCAUUAAAGAAUUUUACUUUUUUUCUUCCCCAAGGGGGAUUAUGCAUCUAUGACCCACCUCGGCAGUUAAAUCACCUUCAGCAAACCGGUUCCUCCCGACAGCCGCCGGGGAGCCCUGCUCUCGCCGGCGCCGCAGCUCCUUCCCGCACCGCCGGGCCCGCUCCGGCGCGGCAUUUUAAAGUGCGGGGCGGAGGAGCCAGUUGGGGUUAAAAAUAAGUAACUGGGAAACCGGCGGCUCCCAGCCACCGCACCCAAGACGGGAGGGUUCUCCCUUCCUGGCGGAUGUUAUGGAGCCGGGGGGCACAAAGCCGCCGGCACCGCCCGGCCGGCAGCUCAUCCCCGCCGCCGCCACCACCACCCUCACUGCGCCCGAACGCACCUCCCACAGGCGGCCGGUCCGCGGGGGACCGCGCCGCGGUACUCCACCACCGCACCCCCGACCCCAGCAUCGCGCCUCACCUGCGGGGCCGGGGCCCGGCCCGGGGCGCCGCUCCGCCGCCACCAGCAGCGCAAGGGCCAGCAGCAGCGGCAGGAGGAGGCGCGGCGACCGGGCGCCGCUCCACGCCAUCUUCCCCCUCCGCACCCGCCGGCCUGCCGCCGCUCCCCGCGCCACCACCCCUCGAGAGCGGGGGGGGAAAGGAGGCGGGAGAUGGAAACCGAGGGGGAAAACUCGGUGCCUGGGCAGCAGCCGCAAUCCUGCUGCCGCUCCUCCUCCGCGGCGGGCAGGAGC
This 1388-nucleotide long non-coding RNA is filed under the name Strigops habroptila (Kakapo). RNAcentral's name for it is "lncRNA (ENSSHBG00005016171.1)". Lineage: Eukaryota; Metazoa; Chordata; Aves; Psittaciformes; Psittacidae. The record is from RNAcentral.